RNAcentral lists this ribosomal RNA (409 nucleotides) under Dechloromonas sp. R-28215. RNAcentral's name for it is "bacterial SSU rRNA". It matches the Rfam family "Bacterial small subunit ribosomal RNA", at positions 19 to 430 of the family's 1533-position model. The record is from RNAcentral. Lineage: Bacteria; Pseudomonadati; Pseudomonadota; Betaproteobacteria; Rhodocyclales; Azonexaceae.
CUGGCUCAGGAUGAACGCUGGCGGCAUGCCUUACACAUGCAAGUCGAACGGCAGCACGGACUUCGGUCUGGUGGCGAGUGGCGAACGGGUGAGUAAUGUAUCGGAACGUACCUUUCAGUGGGGGAUAACGUAGCGAAAGUUACGCUAAUACCGCAUAUUCUGUGAGCAGGAAAGCAGGGGAUCGCAAGACCUUGCGCUGAUUGAGCGGCCGAUAUCAGAUUAGCUAGUUGGUGGGGUAAAGGCCUACCAAGGCUACGAUCUGUAGCGGGUCUGAGAGGAUGAUCCGCCACACUGGAACUGAGACACGGUCCAGACUCCUACGGGAGGCAGCAGUGGGGAAUUUUGGACAAUGGGGGCAACCCUGAUCCAGCCAUGCCGCGUGAGUGAAGAAGGCCUUCGGGUUGUAAAG